UGGAUCUUUCGAAUAAAAAACUUGUUUCACUUGAGAGGAAAAUACAUAUGGCUCGUCCAUCAAUUGUUGUCCAGUGUGAAUCAAGCGAGAGAAAUUCAACAUUGUAAAACCAAAUUGAUCUUUUUUAAUUCCUCGAGCAGUAUUAGCAUCAGCCCAAUCACACCGAAAUAAGACAACUUUCCAUCUGCCAUAGUAAUCCAACUCAAUAAUGUCGGUAAGAAGUCCGUAAUACUCCACAUUACCCUCAAUCGGAUUACUGUCCCUAGCACUAGCAUAACUUGUAAUUGAAGAAUU
This 294-nucleotide long non-coding RNA is filed under the name Gossypium barbadense (sea-island cotton). RNAcentral's name for it is "long non-coding RNA (GBAR_LNC004891)". The record is from RNAcentral. Lineage: Eukaryota; Viridiplantae; Streptophyta; Magnoliopsida; Malvales; Malvaceae.